Molecule: small RNA, 266 nt
Filed under: Arabidopsis thaliana (thale cress)
Lineage: Eukaryota; Viridiplantae; Streptophyta; Magnoliopsida; Brassicales; Brassicaceae
Description: ATSL094780
Source: RNAcentral
UCUCCCGAUCUUUGGGUCAUACCACUUACACUUAAAAAGUGUGAUCCUCAAAUUGACGAUACCCUCAUACACGAGUUCUAUAAUAUCAGUUAAGGUACCGUAGAAAUCCGCUUCAUCAGAUGAAUCAGCGUAAUUUUCACCUUUAACACAGACCCCAUAGUUACAUGUCUUUCGUCCAGCGCUGUGAUUUUGCGUAUGAAACAAAUAUCCUCUUGUGAAAUACAUUGGCCAAGUUUUAACCUUGUUCAAAGGUCCUUGCACUAUCU